Molecule: long non-coding RNA, 201 nt
Filed under: Mytilus galloprovincialis (Mediterranean mussel)
Lineage: Eukaryota; Metazoa; Mollusca; Bivalvia; Mytilida; Mytilidae
Source: RNAcentral
GAACGACCUUUAGUAAUAAUUUCAACGACGCUUAGGUUAUCACAAUAGAAAAGUAUACGUUUUCUAGGCCAAUUAGGCCUCCAAAGUACACAAGCCAUAACGAUUGGGUAAAGUUCGAAAAAUGCAAUAGAGGAUUCUUCUGUUAAUAUCAAAUCUUCCGGGAAAUUGCCUUGAAACCAAUGAUUUUGGUAAAAUCCGCCG